UGGGGAAUAUUGCACAAUGGGGGGAAACCCUGAUGCAGCGACGCCGCGUGAAGGAAGAAGUAUCUCGGUAUGUAAACUUCUAUCAGCAGGGAAGAAAAUGACGGUACCUGACUAAGAAGCCCCGGCUAACUACGUGCCAGCAGCCGCGGUAAUACGUAGGGGGCAAGCGUUAUCCGGAUUUACUGGGUGUAAAGGGAGCGUAGACGGAUGGACAAGUCUGAUGUGAAAGGCUGGGGCUCAACCCCGGGACUGCAUUGGAAACUGCCGUACUAGAGUGUCGGAGGGGUAAGUGGAAUUCCUAGUGUAGCGGUGAAAUGCGUAGAUAUUAGGAGGAACACCAGUGGCGAAGGCGGCUUACUGGACGAUCACUGACGCUGAGGCUCGAAAGCGUGGGGAGCAAACAGGAUUAGAUACCCUGGUAGU
RNAcentral lists this ribosomal RNA (423 nucleotides) under uncultured Blautia sp. Its description in RNAcentral is "bacterial SSU rRNA". It matches the Rfam family "Bacterial small subunit ribosomal RNA", at positions 355 to 794 of the family's 1533-position model. The record is from RNAcentral. Lineage: Bacteria; Bacillati; Bacillota; Clostridia; Lachnospirales; Lachnospiraceae.